CAGUAUUCUUUUGCCAGCGCUUAAUUGCGCGGCGAAAAACCUUACACACAGUGUUUUUUGUUUUAAACCAUUGCUUUGGCUUGGCCUAGAAAUAGGUUGGGUCAGAGGUUUACAACUAAACUUCAAUUUUUAUUGAAUUGUUUUUAAAUUAAUUGUCAAUUUGUUGAUUAAAUUCAAAAAUCUUCA
RNAcentral lists this unclassified non-coding RNA (186 nucleotides) under uncultured Candida. RNAcentral describes it as "sequence contains ITS1". The record is from RNAcentral. Lineage: Eukaryota; Fungi; Ascomycota; Saccharomycetes; Saccharomycetales.